CCUACGGGGGGCUGCAGUGGGGAAUAUUGGACAAGGGGGGGAACCCUGAUCCAGCCAUGCCGCGUGUGUGAAGAAGGCCCUCGGGUUGUAAAGCACUUUCAGUGAGGAAGAACGCCUGGUGGUUAAUACCCAUCAGGAAAGACAUCACUCACAGAAGAAGCACCGGCUAACUCCGUGCCAGCAGCCGCGGUAAUACGGAGGGUGCGAGCGUUAAUCGGAAUUACUGGGCGUAAAGCGCGCGUAGGUGGCUUGAUAAGCCGGUUGUGAAAGCCCCGGGCUCAACCUGGGAACGGCAUCCGGAACUGUCAAGCUAGAGUGCAGGAGAGGAAGGUAGAAUUCCCGGUGUAGCGGUGAAAUGCGUAGAGAUCGGGAGGAAUACCAGUGGCGAAGGCGGCCUUCUGGACUGAAACUGACACUGAGGUGCGAAAGCGUGGGUAGCAAACAGGAUUAGAUACCCGGGUAGUC
RNAcentral lists this ribosomal RNA (465 nucleotides) under Vreelandella stevensii. Its description in RNAcentral is "partial 16S ribosomal RNA". It matches the Rfam family "Bacterial small subunit ribosomal RNA", at positions 338 to 795 of the family's 1533-position model. Lineage: Bacteria; Pseudomonadati; Pseudomonadota; Gammaproteobacteria; Oceanospirillales; Halomonadaceae. The record is from RNAcentral.